CCCUUAUAGCGAAUUUCAAUUUAGGAUAUCGAUUUUCUACUUUCUGGCUCUUGGCUUGACUACCUCUACCGAGAAGCUCUCUCUCGCUUCAGGUUGCCUAAUCGAAUGAUUCUUUUUCUUCCGCCACUUUUGAAACGUAAGUCACCUGCACCAGGAACUUCUUUCUAUUAAGGAGAUAUCCUAAAUUGAAUCAACGCGCACGUUAACGGCCCCCUAUUCGCUCUUUUGAGAGUGUAAAUGCCUGGCUUGAUUUCAAAACCGAUCUGCCCUUUGAACGAAUUUGAAAUUCGCUAUGAUCACAUGAAAAAUCAAAC
Molecule: long non-coding RNA, 314 nt
Filed under: Populus tremula
Lineage: Eukaryota; Viridiplantae; Streptophyta; Magnoliopsida; Malpighiales; Salicaceae
Description: long non-coding RNA (PTRE_LNC000638)
Source: RNAcentral